This 419-nucleotide ribosomal RNA is filed under the name bacterium. RNAcentral describes it as "partial 16S ribosomal RNA". It matches the Rfam family "Bacterial small subunit ribosomal RNA", at positions 355 to 776 of the family's 1533-position model. The record is from RNAcentral.
UGGGGGAUAUUGCACAAUGGGCGAAAGCCUGAUGCAGCGACGCCGCGUGGGGGAUGAAGGCCUUCGGGUUGUAAACUUCUUUUGCUCUGAACAAGGCAUGCUAAUGGGUGUGUUGAGUGUAGGGGUUGAUUAGCGCCGGCUAACUACGUGCCAGCAGCCGCGGUAAUACGUAGGGCGCGAGCGUUGUCCGGAAUUAUUGGGCGUAAAGGGCUUGUAGGUGGCUGGUUGCGUCUGUCGUGAAAGCUCAUGGCUUAACUGUGGGUUUGUGGUGGGUACGGGCUGGCUUGAGUGCAGUAGGGGAGGCUGGAAUUCCUGGUGUAGCGGUGGAAUGCGCAGAUAUCAGGAGGAAUACCGGUGGCGAAGGCGGGUCUCUGGGCUGUUACUGACACUGAGGAGCGAAAGCAUGGGGAGCGAACAGG